Molecule: long non-coding RNA, 243 nt
Filed under: Gossypium raimondii (Peruvian cotton)
Lineage: Eukaryota; Viridiplantae; Streptophyta; Magnoliopsida; Malvales; Malvaceae
Description: long non-coding RNA (GRAI_LNC001926)
Source: RNAcentral
UAAAUUUAGGAUAUUGGUUUGCUAUACAGUUUCAGCAUGUUUUGCGAUCGAAUCGGCCACUUAUUUUGGGUACUUACAUCACACAUUUAGCCUCUAAUUUGAAUCCAUCAGCUGUCAAUUUUAGUUCUUUGAAUUUGGCAUACAAAACGGACUCUUUAGAUACAUACUGUUUGGAUUCUAUGGGGUUACUUGCCGGUACCCCUUCUUCCUUUUAUUUUGUUCCUCCAGGUACAAGAACAGAUC